This 447-nucleotide ribosomal RNA is filed under the name uncultured bacterium. RNAcentral's name for it is "bacterial SSU rRNA". It matches the Rfam family "Bacterial small subunit ribosomal RNA", at positions 355 to 825 of the family's 1533-position model. The record is from RNAcentral.
UCGGGAAUUUUGGGCAAUGGGCGAAAGCCUGACCCAGCAACGCCGCGUGAAGGAUGAAGUAUUUCGGUAUGUAAACUUCGAAAGAAUAGGAAGAAUAAAUGGCGGUACUAUUUAUAAGGUCCGGCUAACUACGUGCCAGCAGCCGCGGUAAUACGUAGGGACCAAGCGUUGUUCGGAUUUACUGGGCGUAAAGGGCGCGUAGGCGGCAAUUCAAGUCAUCUGUGAAAUCUCCGGGCUUAACUCGGAACGGUCAGAUGAUACUGCUUUGCUAGAGUGCAGAAGGGGCAAUCGGAAUUCUUGGUGUAGCGGUGAAAUGCGUAGAUAUCAAGAGGAACACCUGAGGUGAAGACGGGUUGCUGGGCUGACACUGACGCUGAGGCGCGAAAGCCAGGGGAGCAAACGGGAUUAGAUACCCCCGUAGUCCCUGAGCGGGCUGGCAAGGCGCAU